RNAcentral lists this ribosomal RNA (490 nucleotides) under uncultured bacterium. RNAcentral describes it as "partial 16S ribosomal RNA". It matches the Rfam family "Bacterial small subunit ribosomal RNA", at positions 30 to 507 of the family's 1533-position model. The record is from RNAcentral.
AUUGAACGCUGGCGGCAGGCCUAACACAUGCAAGUCGAAUGGUAACAGGAAACAGCUUGCUGUUUCGCUGACGAGUGGCGGACGGGUGAGUAAUGUCUGGGAAACUGCCUGAUGGAGGGGGAUAACUACUGGAAACGGUAGCUAAUACCGCAUAACGUCGCAAGACCAAAGAGGGGGACCUUCGGGCCUCUUGCCAUCAGAUGUGCCCAGAUGGGAUUAGCUAGUAGGUGGGGUAACGGCUCACCUAGGCGACGAUCCCUAGCUGGUCUGAGAGGAUGACCAGCCAGACUGGAACUGACACACGGUCCAGACUCCUACGGGAGGCAGCAGUGGGGAAUAUUGCACAAUGGGCGCAAGCCUGAUGUAGCCAUGCCGCGUGUAUGAAGAAGGCCUUCGGGUUGUAAAGUACUUUCAGCGGGGAGGAAGGGAGUAAAGUUAAUACCUUUGCUCAUUGACGUUACCCGCAGAAGAAGCACCGGCUAACUCCGUG